Molecule: unclassified non-coding RNA, 330 nt
Filed under: soil metagenome
Description: partial contains 5.8S ribosomal RNA, internal transcribed spacer 2, and large subunit ribosomal RNA
Rfam family: 5.8S ribosomal RNA (bases 1-120)
Source: RNAcentral
GAUGAAGAACGCAGCGAAAUGCGAUAAGUAGUGUGAAUUGCAGAAUUCAGUGAAUCAUCGAAUCUUUGAACGCACAUUGCGCCCCCUGGUAUUCCGGGGGGCAUGCCUGUUCGAGCGUCAUUUCACCACUCAAGCCUCGCUUGGUAUUGGGCAUCGCGGUCCGCCGCGCGCCUCAAAUCGACCGGCUGGGUCUUCUGUCCCCUAAGCGUUGUGGAAACUAUUCGCUAAAGGGUGUUCGGAAGGCUACGCCGUAAAACAACCCCAUUUCUAAGGUUGACCUCGGAUCAGGUAGGGAUACCCGCUGAACUUAAGCAUAUCAAUAGCGGAGGA